GAUGAAGAACGCAGCGAAAUGCGAUACGUAAUGUGAAUUGCAGAAUUCAGUGAAUCAUCGAAUCUUUGAACGCAUAUUGCGCUCUCUGGUAUUCCGGAGAGCAUGCUUGUUUGAGUAUCAGUAAACACCUCAACUUCCAUAUCUUUUUUGAAAUGGGAGUUGGACUUGAGUGAUCCCAACGCUUUUCCUCACCGAAAAGUGGCGGGUUACUUGAAAUGCAGGUGCAGCUGGACUUUUCUCUGAGCUAUAAGCAUAUCUAUUUAGUCUGCCUAAAAACAGAUUAUUACCUUUGCUGCAGCUAACAUAAAGGAGAUUAGUUCUUGUGCUGACUGAUGCAGGAUUCACAAAGACAGGCUUCGGCCGACUUUGUAAACUCGAUCUCAAAUCAAGUAAGACUACCCGCUGAACUUAAGCAUAUCAAUAAGCGGAGGA
Molecule: unclassified non-coding RNA, 432 nt
Filed under: soil metagenome
Description: partial contains 5.8S ribosomal RNA, internal transcribed spacer 2, and large subunit ribosomal RNA
Rfam family: 5.8S ribosomal RNA (bases 1-120)
Source: RNAcentral